RNAcentral lists this ribosomal RNA (497 nucleotides) under uncultured bacterium. RNAcentral describes it as "partial 16S ribosomal RNA". It matches the Rfam family "Bacterial small subunit ribosomal RNA", at positions 28 to 507 of the family's 1533-position model. The record is from RNAcentral.
GAUGAACGCUGGCGGCGUGCCUAAUACAUGCAAGUCGAGCGAACGGACGAGAAGCUUGCUUCUCUGAUGUUAGCGGCGGACGGGUGAGUAACACGUGGAUAACCUACCUAUAAGACUGGGAUAACUUCGGGAAACCGGAGCUAAUACCGGAUAAUAUUUUGAACCGCAUGGUUCAAAAGUGAAAGACGGUCUUGCUGUCACUUAUAGAUUGAUCCGCGCUGCAUUAGCUAGUUGGUAAGGUAACGGCUUACCAAGGCAACGAUGCAUAGCCGACCUGAGAGGGUGAUCGGCCACACUGGAACUGAGACACGGUCCAGACUCCUACGGGAGGCAGCAGUAGGGAAUCUUCCGCAAUGGGCGAAAGCCUGACGGAGCAACGCCGCGUGAGUGAUGAAGGUCUUCGGAUCGUAAAACUCUGUUAUUAGGGAAGAACAUAUGUGUAAGUAACUGUGCACAUCUUGACGGUACCUAAUCAGAAAGCCACGGCUAACUACGUG